RNAcentral lists this ribosomal RNA (1125 nucleotides) under Escherichia coli. RNAcentral's name for it is "partial 23S ribosomal RNA". It matches the Rfam family "Bacterial large subunit ribosomal RNA", at positions 1669 to 2776 of the family's 2925-position model. Lineage: Bacteria; Pseudomonadati; Pseudomonadota; Gammaproteobacteria; Enterobacterales; Enterobacteriaceae. The record is from RNAcentral.
AGGUAGAGAAUACCAAGGCGCUUGAGAGAACUCGGGUGAAGGAACUAGGCAAAAUGGUGCCGUAACUUCGGGAGAAGGCACGCUGAUAUGUAGGUGAAGUCCCUCGCGGAUGGAGCUGAAAUCAGUCGAAGAUACCAGCUGGCUGCAACUGUUUAUUAAAAACACAGCACUGUGCAAACACGAAAGUGGACGUAUACGGUGUGACGCCUGCCCGGUGCCGGAAGGUUAAUUGAUGGGGUCAGCGCAAGCGAAGCUCUUGAUCGAAGCCCCGGUAAACGGCGGCCGUAACUAUAACGGUCCUAAGGUAGCGAAAUUCCUUGUCGGGUAAGUUCCGACCUGCACGAAUGGCGUAAUGAUGGCCAGGCUGUCUCCACCCGAGACUCAGUGAAAUUGAACUCGCUGUGAAGAUGCAGUGUACCCGCGGCAAGACGGAAAGACCCCGUGAACCUUUACUAUAGCUUGACACUGAACAUUGAGCCUUGAUGUGUAGGAUAGGUGGGAGGCUUAGAAGUGUGGACGCCAGUCUGCAUGGAGCCGACCUUGAAAUACCACCCUUUAAUGUUUGAUGUUCUAACGUUGACCCGUAAUCCGGGUUGCGGACAGUGUCUGGUGGGUAGUUUGACUGGGGCGGUCUCCUCCUAAAGAGUAACGGAGGAGCACGAAGGUUGGCUAAUCCUGGUCGGACAUCAGGAGGUUAGUGCAAUGGCAUAAGCCAGCUUGACUGCGAGCGUGACGGCGCGAGCAGGUGCGAAAGCAGGUCAUAGUGAUCCGGUGGUUCUGAAUGGAAGGGCCAUCGCUCAACGGAUAAAAGGUACUCCGGGGAUAACAGGCUGAUACCGCCCAAGAGUUCAUAUCGACGGCGGUGUUUGGCACCUCGAUGUCGGCUCAUCACAUCCUGGGGCUGAAGUAGGUCCCAAGGGUAUGGCUGUUCGCCAUUUAAAGUGGUACGCGAGCUGGGUUUAGAACGUCGUGAGACAGUUCGGUCCCUAUCUGCCGUGGGCGCUGGAGAACUGAGGGGGGCUGCUCCUAGUACGAGAGGACCGGAGUGGACGCAUCACUGGUGUUCGGGUUGUCAUGCCAAUGGCACUGCCCGGUAGCUAAAUGCGGAAGAGAUAAGUGCUGAAA